This 253-nucleotide ribosomal RNA is filed under the name uncultured bacterium. RNAcentral's name for it is "partial 16S ribosomal RNA". It matches the Rfam family "Bacterial small subunit ribosomal RNA", at positions 524 to 776 of the family's 1533-position model. The record is from RNAcentral.
UACGUAGGGGGCAAGCGUUAUCCGGAUUUACUGGGUGUAAAGGGAGCGUAGACGGCAUGGCAAGUCAGAUGUGAAAGCCCGGGGCUCAACCCCGGGACUGCAUUUGAAACUGUCAGGCUGGAGUGCAGGAGAGGUAAGCGGAAUUCCUAGUGUAGCGGUGAAAUGCGUAGAUAUUAGGAGGAACACCAGUGGCGAAGGCGGCUUACUGGACUGUGACUGACGUUGAGGCUCGAAAGCGUGGGGAGCAAACAGG